GACGAACCGUGCGAACGUUGUUCGGAAUCACUGGGCUUAAAGGGCGCGUAGGCGGCUUGCCAAGUCAGGGGUGAAAUCUUUCGGCUCAACCGGAAAACGGCCCCUGAUACUGGCGGGCUUGAGGGAGGUAGGGGCGGAUGGAACUUCCGGUGGAGCGGUGAAAUGCGUAGAUAUCGGAAGGAACGCCGGUGGCGAAAGCGAUCCGCUGGACCUCCUCUGACGCUGAGGCGCGAAAGCCAGGGGGAGCAAAGCGGG
Molecule: ribosomal RNA, 255 nt
Filed under: uncultured bacterium
Lineage: Bacteria
Description: partial 16S ribosomal RNA
Rfam family: Bacterial small subunit ribosomal RNA
Source: RNAcentral